UACGUAGGGUGCGAGCGUUAAUCGGAAUUACUGGGCGUAAAGCGUGCGCAGGCGGUUUUGUAAGCCAGAUGUGAAAUCCCCGGGCUUAACCUGGGAAUGGCAUUCGGGACUGCAAGGCUGGAGUGCGGCAGAGGAGACUGGAAUUCCUGGUGUAGCAGUGAAAUGCGUAGAUAUCAGGAGGAACACCGAUGGCGAAGGCAGGUCUCUGGGCUGACACUGACGCUCAUGCACGAAAGCGUGGGGAGCAAACAGG
RNAcentral lists this ribosomal RNA (253 nucleotides) under uncultured bacterium. RNAcentral describes it as "partial 16S ribosomal RNA". It matches the Rfam family "Bacterial small subunit ribosomal RNA", at positions 524 to 776 of the family's 1533-position model. The record is from RNAcentral.